RNAcentral lists this ribosomal RNA (429 nucleotides) under uncultured bacterium. RNAcentral describes it as "bacterial SSU rRNA". It matches the Rfam family "Bacterial small subunit ribosomal RNA", at positions 354 to 796 of the family's 1533-position model. The record is from RNAcentral.
GUGGGGAAUUUUCCGCAAUGGGCGAAAGCCUGACGGAGCAAUACCGCGUGAGGGAAGACGGCCUAUGGGUUGUAAACCUCUUUUUUCAGGGAGGAACAAAAUGACGUGUACCUGAAGAAUAAGCAUCGGCUAACUCCGUGCCAGCAGCCGCGGUAAGACGGAGGAUGCAAGUGUUAUCCGGAAUCACUGGGCGUAAAGCGUCUGUAGGUGGUUUGUUAAGUCAACUGUUAAAUCUUGAGGCUCAACUUCAAAUCAGCAGUCGAAACUAUCAGACUAGAGUAUAGUAGGGGUAAAGGGAAUUUCCAGUGGAGCGGUGAAAUGCGUAGAUAUUGGAAAGAACACCGAUGGCGAAGGCACUUUACUGGGCUAUUACUAACACUCAGAGACGAAAGCUAGGGUAGCAAAUGGGAUUAGAAACCCGAGUAGUCC